Molecule: unclassified non-coding RNA, 227 nt
Filed under: Hevea brasiliensis (rubber tree)
Lineage: Eukaryota; Viridiplantae; Streptophyta; Magnoliopsida; Malpighiales; Euphorbiaceae
Source: RNAcentral
GCAAAAUCUCUAGAAACAUGGAGGAAAGCCUUUUCUAACCCUCUGCUGCUCCAGCAAAAAAUAUUCUUUUGACAUAAAAAUGGUGGAAGAGAUUUUUUAUUUUCUCUUAUCGAAAAAAUUCUUGACUCUUCCAUAGGGACAUAAGAUGCCAUCCAAAGAAGAGGUGAAAGAUAAGAAAUACUGUAGGUAUCAUGGUGAUUAGACUCGUCAUACUAAUUGCUGCUUGG